AUUGAACGCUGGCGGCAGGCCUAACACAUGCAAGUCGAGCGGUAACAUUUCAAAAGCUUGCUUUUGAAGAUGACGAGCGGCGGACGGGUGAGUAAUGGCUGGGAACCUGCCCUAACGAGGGGGAUAACAGUUGGAAACGACUGCUAAUACCGCAUAAUGUCUACGGGCCAAAGAGGGGGACCUUCGGGCCUCUCGCGUCAGGAUAUGCCUAGGUGGGAUUAGCUAGUUGGUGAGGUAAGGGCUCACCAAGGCGACGAUCCCUAGCUGGUCUGAGAGGAUGAUCAGCCACACUGGAACUGAGACACGGUCCAGACUCCUACGGGAGGCAGCAGUGGGGAAUAUUGCACAAUGGGCGCAAGCCUGAUGCAGCCAUGCCGCGUGUGUGAAGAAGGCCUUCGGGUUGUAAAGCACUUUCAGCAGUGAGGAAGGUGGUGUAGUUAAUACCUGCGCCAUUUGACG
Molecule: ribosomal RNA, 459 nt
Filed under: uncultured bacterium
Lineage: Bacteria
Description: bacterial SSU rRNA
Rfam family: Bacterial small subunit ribosomal RNA
Source: RNAcentral